CUUUACUAUAGCUUUGCAGUGGUAUUAGGGAACGUAUGUGUAGGAUAGGUGGGACACUUUGAAGCAUGGGCGUCAGCUUGUGUGGAGUGGCCGGUGAAAUACCACCCUUAUGUUCCUUGAUAUCUAACUUCGUCCGGUGAAUCACGGACAAGGACCCUGCAUGGUGGGUAGUUUGACUGGGGCGGUCGCCUCCCAAAGUGUAACGGAGGCGCGCGAUGGUUAGCUCAAGCUGGUCGGAAAUCAGCUGUCGAGUGCAAUGGCACAAGCUAGCCUGACUGCGAGACGGACAUGUCAAGCAGAGACGAAAGUCGGUCAUAGUGAUCCGGUGGUUCUUCGUGGAAGGGCCAUCGCUCAACGGAUAAAAGGUA
RNAcentral lists this ribosomal RNA (368 nucleotides) under uncultured organism. RNAcentral describes it as "bacterial LSU rRNA". It matches the Rfam family "Bacterial large subunit ribosomal RNA", at positions 2099 to 2465 of the family's 2925-position model. The record is from RNAcentral.